CGUAGCCACGGGAAUACAGAGGGUGCGAGCGUUAAUCGGAUUUACUGGGCGUAAAGCGUGCGUAGGCGGCUUCUUAAGUCGGAUGUGAAAUCCCUGAGCUUAACUUAGGAAUUGCAUUCGAUACUGGGAAGCUAGAGUAUGGGAGAGGAUGGUAGAAUUCCAGGUGUAGCGGUGAAAUGCGUAGAGAUCUGGAGGAAUACCGAUGGCGAAGGCAGCCAUCUGGCCUAAUACUGACGCUGAGGUACGAAAGCAUGGGGAGCAAACAGGAUUAGAUACCCGCGUAGUCCCUGUCUCUUAUACA
This 301-nucleotide ribosomal RNA is filed under the name uncultured bacterium. RNAcentral describes it as "partial 16S ribosomal RNA". It matches the Rfam family "Bacterial small subunit ribosomal RNA", at positions 510 to 808 of the family's 1533-position model. The record is from RNAcentral.